CUAUUUCCUCUGCUAUUCAGAGCUAACCACGUGUAAUUGGCCCAGAAGUCUCUUGUAUUUUGGGGAACUGUUUGCGAUAGCCCAUCUGUUUUCAUCUCGCAGUUCAAACGAUAGUGUUUACCCUUAUGUCGGGGAAAUUGGUUUACAUGCGCAGCAAUUUCAGUGCGACACCGAAAUAUUGAACCAACGCUACGAAUCGUACAGGCUUUGUACUGCUAAUAACCCUCCAUUACGACUGUCACGAGACAUUUACACAGCCUCUUGGUCCUGUAAAGGAAAGUUAGAUCCUGGGUUUAUCUAACUAUUUGAAAACCAGUUGGUCUUUGGCCAGAGACGCAGACGCAUGGGUCAGGGGAGGUGGCCGGGCAGCCCGGGAGCAAUCGGGUCGCAGGGGGCAAAGCCCUGACGCCUUCUGUCUCCUGUGGCGUGGGCUAGGUUGGCUGAUACUGAACGACCCCCAGCAGCCCCCUCCUUCCGUCCCGCAGACUCGUUUGCGUCUCUUUUCUCCAAACCGCGAUCCGGAGCUUCGGGCCCAGUUUCCCGAGUGACACAUCGUGAAACCGCAGGGAAGUGGUGCAAGCCCGGAACAGAUGGGUCUCUGACCCUGCGUGUUUCGCAGAUUGAGGAUGGAUGGAGGUGUAGACGGCUCAGGGCCAUCUAGCCCUUUCGUGAGCCGCAAAGAGAUGGUUCGGUGCUCCCAGGAGGGACAAGUCUCCUUUCUCAGGCUGUGUCGAGGAAAGGGAGCUCGUCAAUGCAGCGUGAAGCGCCGGCCCGCAGCGGUGUGGGUGGGGGGCGGUCUCGUUCUUUUGGCCCGUGGGCAGCCGCGGGACGGCUGCGUAACCGGCUCCGGAGACCGGGAGUGUGCGUUGGAGCCGCGCCCCGACUUUCCUGGGGCGGAGAAAUUGGAGAAAUUGCUCUGAAGUAGCGUCGGCUGCCCUGGCUGAGAGGCCCGUAAUCAGCCCCUGGCAUGUGUGCAAAUGCUGAUUUUGCGGGUGUUACUUAAUCCACGCCGGCGGUGAAAAGCCUCGGGUUGGUGGCACGCUCACCUCCCACCGCCAGGCUUCUUUCUCGGUCUGCUCUGGGGAGCAGACUCUGCGUCCAGGGUGGGGUGGGGUUGGGUGACCGGUGAGGGUGUGAGUCUGAUGCUGGGGCUUCUUUGGCCCAAGGAUUGAGGAGUGAAAAAAGAAUGCGAAAAUGAAGCUGUUGACGGACGUCUGCCGCCUUAAUUCAGGCUGUUGUCCCAGUGUCCUGGUAGAAAUUAGCCAUUUCCUCUGUAUCCCAUGCUAACUUACUCUUUCAAGGGGAGGAGUAGUUGGCAGAGGAAAAAACCAUAAUGAUUUUACACAGUACAAAAUGUGACCAAGGCUAACUUGAGGAAGGUACAAGAAGAGGAAUAUCCAGCUGAUCAUUUAAACCUUAGUGCCAGAAACAGUCAAAAUUAUCUGUGGAAGGCCGUAAGAUCAGUAAGGAGCUCCUCUACAAAGGAAGACCCAAAUUUAAGUCUUAGCAGUUAAAGUGACCUUUGGUAACUCCAGUAAGGUGGAGGCCUGCUCCUGGGCAAAUGCAGGAAAGCAAAGAUCUAAGGCCAGAACCCACAUCCCACAAAGAGUCCAUCUUUUCCAAAGUUGGAAGGAAAAAGCUCCCUUACAAUGCCUCAUGAUGACCAGCCCUCAGUUCCCUCUACUACCUUCAGUUCAUGUCUCAUAUGACUUAUUAUUAUGCUGGAAAUGAGUAAUUUUAAAAAGCAAAAUAUUCUGGGGGAAAAGGAGUGAAAAUUCCAACCUACUUCAUCCCUUAAAUUUCAAAAGGCAAAUAAUCCAUUAACUCAUGACCACACCUCUCCCUGCCCCCCAAAAGCAAUGAGAAUUUAAAUUUAUAUAACAACUUGAAUAUAGGUCUAAAUUAUAAGGGGCAAUCUCUCUUUUCAGAUCCUUGGGCAUUUUAUUUUGUGGCCUUUCCAGUACUUUCUACCAAAAACAAAUCCACAGAGAACGUGAAAGCAUCCCAGCUAUAGGAACUAGUUUUAGUCAAUUGGUGAAGACAAAUUGGAAGGUUUGUCCUGAAAAGCAAUGAUUUUAAGGUUAAGGUUAUACUUUUUAUUCAUGGUCAGCAUAGCCGCAAAGUGUAGAAAGAAAGACAACAGAAUUGUCUCAGAGUAUAGUGUUCACAUAUCAGGGCCAUUGUAAAAACAGGGUUUUAGUUUAACAGGGUUUCUUAGUAGAGGCUGCCUCUGCCUUACUAAUUGUCCUCCUUGAUGUUUGCUUUCUUUUGUCCUCCUUACCCAUCUACUACAGCUGACAAAACUUACACCAAAGAGACUCCUCACACAAUUUGUUUUUGAGAGACUGCUAUUUGCUUAGCACUGUACGAGCAAUAAUGAAGGGUAGGAAAGGAUCAGAUGUGUUCCCUGCCCUUUUGGAGCUUCUCAUUUGCUUGGGGAGAAAAGACUUAGAAAACUUAGUGUAUUCAUGUCCAUUAAAGAGGUAAGAAGGGCCAACACAGUAUUGCUUAGGGAACGGAGUGAGAAUGGCAGCACAGUUAGAGCGUGAGGAACGGCACAGGUCACAGGAAUCUUUUCCGGGUCACCCAAGUGGUCUUCAGAUCACAGUGGAGAGAAAACUAGAUGAGGAGAUUGGGAAGCCAGCAACCAGAUGGGGCCUGGCUCAGCUUUGUGAUUUUUUUCCCCUGCCUCUUCUGCUCUUGCAGUGUGCACGGGAAACAACUGAAGGGCAAAUCUGGAAUUCAUGGUGUGUGUCUGCGUGUGUAGGGGUGAGGUGGGGAGGAAAAGGCCAAAUACAUUAUCUGAUCAUUCUGUACCUGUGGGGAGGUUAGGGAGCUUCAUUUUCUGGCUGCCUUGCUAUUUGCAUGGAUAUGAUGCCCAAAUGUAAUCUCAGGAAAAUAAACUAACUGGAUUAUGAGCUGAAGAAUCAUGUGGCUUUUUUUCCUGCUAGCAUCUCAGCAGCUGCUCUACGACAAACGGCCCAACAAAACUGCCACCAUCACAGGAUGAAUCUAAAGGACUUAAUUGCCUGUGGACUUGAACUCGAAAGACGGAGGAACAUCAUUGAACACAUCCCCUUUGUUAGCAGUCUGAGCUUCAUAGGCCCUGGGCUUAUGGCAUUCCUUCACGGCGGACAUGGCAGAACGAGUUGGACAUGCCAUUUUAGACUGAGCUCUGAAUCUCCAGACUAAUGUGACCUGACACUCCAGAUCUUCACUUUCCCUUUCUGGAACUUAGACCGUUAUCUUGGAGGCUCGAAAAAUCACUGAAAGAUUACACCUGGCACUGUUUAUGCUGUUCACCUCUGAAGACUGAGACUGACUUUAGGUAAGAAGACUAUCACAUUUUUUUGUAAUUUCUGCCUUUCUGCAUUGUCCAACCUGGUAGAGCAAGUUUGUAUCACCUUUUUUUUUUUCCUUUUGGUUAAAAAAAUAAGAAUUCUUUAAAGACCUCACUUACAACGUUCAAAACACUCUACUAUGUCAUUCUGUGGCAAAGAAUUUUAAUUUUUUCUCCAAAGAGAAACCAAAGUCUAGGAAGGUUCAUCAGUUCUGAAGGUCAUGAUAAUUUCCUAACUUUUCGUUAAAUGAUUUGAACCACCAGGCCAGUGGUAAGAAAAAAAAGAAUGCUAUAAAAAGUUAGUAGAAUAUUGAGAACUACAUUAGGUUCAAUAUUCAUUUAUUGAACAGGAACUUAUUGCAUGGUAUUCUUAGUUUAUAGGUUUGUAAGUACAACAGGAACUGUGGCACAAAGGGUAGUAUCAUGGUAAGAAGUCAGGGUUCUAGGUGGAUUUUUUUAAGUCACCUAAAGUUUCUGUCAGAAUUAGAACCUCAGACUGUGGUAUUUCUUUUGUCAAGGUUGGUUAUUCUAGCCUGUUCUUCAUCUCAAUGCUUUAUUUCUCUUCCUUAUCAUGUAGCAAGCCCAUUUAACAUGUUGUGGUCAUGUGAUGUUUUUCCUAUAAAUUUAUCAUAAUUGCAAUUUUAGAUAUAUAACAAUCUACACACUCAAAGAAAAUAAACCUUCUAAUGAGGACUCAAGCUAACCACCUUGGGGAAUUGCUCUUUUUGAUUGUAUUUUAAGGCCAUUAAAAUAUUUGUUUAGUGAUUUAUUCGUCCUGGAGACAGAUGUAAGGAUCAGUCUAUUUUUCACGUUACACUGGAGUUUUCUUUUUAAAUAUUCUC
This is a long non-coding RNA of Aethalodelphis obliquidens (Pacific white-sided dolphin), 4182 nucleotides long. RefSeq lists it as uncharacterized. NCBI's taxonomy places the organism in Eukaryota, Metazoa, Chordata, Mammalia, Artiodactyla, Delphinidae. The record is from RefSeq and is a predicted model, not a curated record. The transcript is spliced from 4 exons.